RNAcentral lists this ribosomal RNA (76 nucleotides) under Meloidogyne incognita (southern root-knot nematode). RNAcentral describes it as "partial 16S ribosomal RNA". Lineage: Eukaryota; Metazoa; Nematoda; Chromadorea; Rhabditida; Meloidogynidae. The record is from RNAcentral.
AUUUUUUGAUUUUAGUUUAUUUACGUAUUUAGUUGAUUUUUUAAUAGAUUUAGUUCAUCUGUUGAUGUAACACAGA